Molecule: ribosomal RNA, 101 nt
Filed under: uncultured bacterium
Lineage: Bacteria
Description: partial 16S ribosomal RNA
Rfam family: Bacterial small subunit ribosomal RNA
Source: RNAcentral
CGUGGAGGAUGAAGGCCCUUGGGUUGUAAACUCCUUUUGUGAGGGAAGAAUGCCGCAAGGCUUGACGGUACCUCGCGAAAAAGCCACGGCUAACUACGUGC